CCUGCAGAUAAGACAGCUGUGUCCCACCUGCAAUUCUCUGGGCGAAUUGGGAUCCAACAUUGGCUGAGUCCUUACUGCCUUCAAUUCUUUGAGAAUUUUCUGGACUUGACCGAGGUCCUUUUCAGACCUUCUUUGCCAGCUUUGCUGGGAGUAGAGACUGCUAGGUGAGUAGACCCACCUGUCUCAGCGUAAGUGUAGGUCAUGCCAAGCAGACUUUUCCUCCGCUUUCCAGGAUGGCAGGGGAGGAGUGUAGCUGGUGGGUUAGGACCCAGGAUGGGACCCCAAGGGCCACAUGAUUUGUUAGCGGCACAAUUCAGAGUAAAACUGACCCCUAUGUUUGGCAGGUUUCCCUCUAAGCCCUGCAAUCUCUGAGAGUGUCUCUCAAAAUGCAGGAAAGAGGACAAGGAAAGUAGGGGGUCGGGGGUCUUUCCCCAGCUUCACAAACCGUGAUUGGGCUGCAGGAUGGUGCCAUGUCUUCAUGACUCUUGGAAACUCAAAUUCCCUGUAGUCAGGAGUCUCUCAAAUUCUUCAUAAAUGGCAUCAUAUCAUUGAUAACUAUAAUGAGUACAUGCCCAGUGAAAAUAAUAAUAGCAGCAAAAGCAGCAAUAAAUUGGGGUAAUUUUCUAGUCAACUUCUAUUUUUCGAAUAUAGUGCUACAUUUCAAAGGUCUUUUUUAUAGAAGCCAGGGGUAACGUAUACUGGGUGAAGAGGAAUCAGAAGAGCGGUAUUUCCAUCAAGGAUCCCUAGAAUGGAGUGUGUUGGGAUGCUGGGAAUGUCAUAUAGUCUGAUGGAGGCGGCAUUUCUGUACAUAGGUGCAUACACAUGUAAAAUGCAUUGAGCUUUACACUGAAGAUUCACGCACUCUAUAUAAAGUGUACCACACAGAAAGGGCAAACGUCCCUUCGACGUGUCUUUCCACCAUAGGCAGUUCACAUGUCUUGUCUGAUUUCAUCUUCACUGCACAGCUGCGUAGAAUUGUUGAUGGGUUUACAGAGGGGGAAGCUCAGCUCUGCCACUCACCACUGCAAGCUCAGACACUCUCCCGGAAAUGCCGCUUCUUUAUCUGAAAGUGGUUCCUGCUAAAUUAGAUUAUAGGGGGUUGUCUGUAAACCCUUGGUCACCACUCCAGCCCUGCUUUGUCUGCACAUCACCCUAAUCGAGGCGGAUGCCACUGUGCGCUGAUGCACUGAACCGCAGGGGUUUGGAAGAGCUGGCAUGAUGAUCCCAGAAAUUAGGACAAGGCUGGGCGUUCUCCAAGAGCAUCAGGCUCUGCCUCUUCCCACUUCAGGCUCAUGGUGGAUGUAAAUGAAUUGUUCGUUGAAUUGAACUGAGCAGAGAGAAGCUGAAAAAUAAUCCCUCUCGACUAUGUUUCCCUGGAGAUCAAUCCAGGCACGCACAGGUACAACCAAGUCAAAUCUCAAGUCACCGAGUCAUUAUUACUCUCCUAUGAUGGACCAGAAGAGGUUGUAUUCAGUUAUUCAUUUGUUUAUUCAACAGACAUUUAUCUGUUGAGCUCCUGCAUGUGUCAGAAACUGUGCUGGGCGCUGGGGUAGUUACAAAGAGGUAAACCCUUCACCCUAAAAUAACUCAGGAAGAGGGCACAUUCUGUGAUAAAUGUAACACAGUGUGUUCACUCCCAAGGCUCCUGAAAUCUGCAGGAGGGGCAUUUUAGCUGGGGGCACGUGCAAGGCAUGCAGAUAAGUUGCAAACUUAUCUCUGUUUAAGUCAGAAGAGCAAAGGGAAGAAAAUGGGCAUUGGGUAAAUUCCAUCGUGUUCCUGGCUUUGAACUAGGGGUUUUUACAUAGUUUGUCUGGUUGCACUUCCUAAGACCCUUGCAAAGGAAAGGGUUUUCCCCUCAUUUUGCAGCUAAGGACACAAGAGUUUUAGAGAGGUGAAGAUGACCUGUUCAAGGUCAGAGAACUAGAAUGUAGCCCAUCAGAGUCUGAAGGGUAAUUUUCCUGGCACCAUUGAGGGGCGUAGAAUGGAAAGGGUUGCUGGGUUGGGAAGCUGGCUGGGUAGCCCAUCCCGCAGAGUCUGCACUUUAUCCUACAGACAGCUCUGCUGCUUGGCAGCUCAGGGGCCAGAUUUGGGUUGUGGUAAUUGUCAAAUAGCAGCGAGUGGAAGUGUAGAGCAUGAAGUCUAGAGCCAGAUGCCUGGUGGGUAAUGUCAAUUCCACCUCACACCAGCUGUGCCAUGUGGGGCGGGUGACUCAGCUACUCUGAGCCUCAUUUUCCUCAUCUGCAAAAUAGAGAUAGUCACACCACUUCCUCUCUCCCAGGGCUGCUGAGAGGAGUGAAUGAGUGUCACAUUAUCCUGUGAGAAGCAGUGCCCAGAACAGAGAAGUGCAUAAUGUAUGUUAACAAUUCUAAUGAAUAUACAGCACCUAGCACAGUCUCUGGUACCUAAGUGGUAUUUAAUAAAUGAUCAUUUUUCUUAUCUUGUGUUUUACCAGAAUUAUCAAAUAUCUACAAUGCUUAAUUGAUCUGUAGCACAAUAAGGUAAAGAAGGAAGUAUUGGUCAGCUACUGAUGCCAUCUGGAGACAGGGGCAUCGUUUAUUCAUUGAGAAUAAACCUUUUUGGGCAACUCAGAAGUUAGGGACCUACGAGAACGCACUUUCUUGACUCGAGAUGAGUUUCUGUGUCCUGCUGUGUGGCCGUGAUGUGAGGGGUUGCACAGCCAUUCACAGAUCGCUCAUGUUUGUAACAGGGGGGUCUUUUCCGCGGCUGGCUGGCUUGGAGCUGGUUAAAAGUUUCUUAUUUUAGAGUGCUGCUUGAGAAGUACCCCAAUUUUACUGCAAAAUCUAGAUACUUUUCCUUUGGCUGUACCACCAACCCACUGUGUCAUCCUGGAGGUGUCCCUUUCCUGUUCAUUUGCUUAUUUGAUCUUCAUAAUAUCCCAUUUAAUAAAUGGGAAAGUGAGAGAAAUGAAGAGACCUGCCUCAAAUUACAGAGACAAUUAGACUAAGGAUGAAAUAGGAAUGAGAACCAGAAACUGGGAACUCCUGGCUAGAUUUGGCUGUCAGGAGAAUCUAACAGCUCCACAAGGCAGGGGUAUCAGACGCCCUCCACCCCCAGGACCCAGACCAGCUCCCCAUGGACCCCUCUGUGCACCCUGGGCCAAUUUCCCACCCCAACUCUGCAGGGUUGCAGCCCCUCCCUUCAUGACAACCUUCUCCAGGGGUCUCUGCUGCUGCAGAGGUGAGAGACACCUGGAGCCUGGCCAAGACCGAAUCAGUAGCCGGGGAGUGUAGGAGAGUGAAUGCCCCAGGGAGCAAACCUUUGACCUAUGGGAUGUGGGAGCCGGUGGACGCGUUCUUCCCCCUACCCCCUCCCCUCCCCAACUGUCUGUUUCCUGGUGUGGUACUUCAUAGGCCUCUUAGAGACAGUCCCUCAUGAAUAAACAAUACCACAUGGAGGCCAGCUCAGUGAUGCAGGAGGGGUAUGCAUCCCCCUCCUUCCCUGCCCCCCACCUCCCCUUUUCUCUCUCUCUCCAGCUUCUUUAGAAUUCUCUCUAGUCAAGUAGUAACACAUAGGCUUUUGCUCAGCCUCUGCUCAGUGGGAUUCUCAGAGAAAGUGAUUUCACUCUCUUUAUUAUUAAUUAGGAUAGAUAAAAGGCUGGAGGGAAGGAGGGAGAGAGAGGAGGGGGGAGAGAUGGAGAGAAGAGGUGGCACUGACUGUAGAUGAAUAUUGAAGAAGCAUGAUGAGUAUUACAGGAGUUGAGACCAGUACAGUGGUUCAGGUUCAGUGCACAGACUCUACAGCCUACUGCCUGCAUUACAUCCUUCUUUCGUUAAUUACAAGCCUGUAAUUGGGCAAGUUACUGACCCUUCUGUUUCCUCAUCUGUAAAGUGUAGAUGAUAAUAAUUUCUGCCUCAUAGGGUUUCUGUAAAUAUUAAAUGUUCUGAUAUUUGUAAAACACCUAGAACAGUGUCUGAAACAGUAUAAGCAUUAUGUGUUUAUUAAACAUGCAAAUCAACAAAGGCCUCUCCCUUGAGCUGGUAUGCAGGACUCUAAGGAAGUUAGUGAGUUUCUCUGGGCCACAGUUUCUUUAGCAAUAAAAUAAAAGGCUUGAGUUACAGUCGAGUAUCUGACCAGUUCUGAUCCUGGAUAUUUUAAAGAGAACCCAGGUACUAAUGCAAAUCCAGCAGGGGUGGUCUUAAUGAUCUUGUAUAAAUGGUCUUAAGUUUUAUGUAAAUUUUGCCAUAAUUAAUCCUCACAAGAGGUCUAUGAGGUUGCAGUGAGUUCCCUGCACUUUACAGAUGAGAAAGAGAAGGCUCAGAGAGGUUAAGUAACUUGUGCGUGGUUACACAGUGAGCUGUGGGGGGGAGAAUGCAAACUUGGAUCUGGUUGACUCAAAAGCCCUACCAAGUGAUAUCCUGUUCUAGGGCUGACAAACUAUGACUGUAUAGAUCUAAGUUCUGGUGUUAAACAUGUGAAGAGUGGGCUGGUUGCAUCUUGGCAAUUUGUAGAUUACUGACUGGGUGCCCUUCUGCAUACUUGAUGGCUCAUGAGAAAAAGGGGGACAGUUGCCCAAUGGUCUGGGGUCGGAGCGUGAGACGAGAUGGAUCGAUCUGUGGGCUGGAAUAUAAGGGUCCAGAUAAGGAAUGAAGCACACAUUUUGAAGGGAAAAUACCAUUUGGGUUAGAAUUCACUUAUUUCUCUGUCUGCCAGAUCCCAUGUUGAAUCUGGCCCAUGGUGGAUGCCCCAGCACAGGUUUCCGUGGGACUACUUCAGCUUUCCCAACAAAUUUGGAUAGAUGAAUGGUUUGGGUUUCUUAAAGUUUUUUUUUUUUUUUUGGCAAGAUGUCUCUAUGUUACUAUGAAACACUUCAUAUUUUAUUAAAGGAAUGAUUGCAUAAAAUAAAUAAGACGUGGUUUCCUUUGUCACCUUCUUAGAAGAAUGGCAGUGGCAGAAAUUCAGAGCCCCGGACUUUCUCUCUAGAUUUGAAGGGGGACAAGGCUGAGGGGUCAUUGGAGGAUGGAGGGGUCGGGGGAGUGAGGAAGAGAGACAUGCACCAGCAAUAGCAUCUCCCCGCUUUGGGUCUCAUUUCUGCAGAAGCCCAAACACUUCCCUUCAGUCCAAGCUAAUAGCAUUUGCUGUGAGUUUAUUUUGAUAUUGUCACAACUGUCCCCAGAGAGUGGCAUUGACAGGCUUUCUUUUCUUUUUGCCUUGGUAUCACAGGACCAGAUUCAUUGCUCACGGGAAUCAGAAUCAUUUCAUCUUGACACCAAACCCUGGCAUCUACAGAUUCCAAGAAACAUGCCUCUGCUUCUCGAGGAGGCUCAGACAGGUCCUUGCGUUGGGGCGACCAGGACAUGACAGACCAUCUGUUUGGCAGAGAUUACUUUAUUUAAGGGCAGGGUGGGCUUGGACUCAGAUAUGCAGAAUGAGCAGUGGAUGGAUUUAUUAUUCUAUUUAAUGCAUGGUUAUUUGAGUACCGUUUUAAGCAUUGGAGACCCAGCAGGGAAAAAGGAUAAUAGUCUCUAUUCUCAGAGAGCAUCAUUUAAAAGGAGAUUCAGAAACUGAACCACUGCUUCCCCCAACAACCGAUUUCCAGCAGGGGUGAUGCCCUAACAGCCGGGCACAAGGAAGGAAAGCAUAUCAGAGAAGCACAGCGUGGUCUGGGGAAGACCCUGCUCAGUAAAUAUUCAGGACCACCAGCUCUGGGUCAGGGACUAGGCCGCAGUGGGCACAACAUGAUGGAGAGACACACACACCCUGCCCACAAGGAGGUCACAUCUGAUGAGUGCAAAAUGGGGUUACAUAUAAGGUGCAUAGAGCAGUAGGGACAGAGAUUCAGUGGCAUGCUUGGGGAAGUCAGGGACUGUUUCAGGGAAGACAGAGUGCGAUCUGAGGCUUGAAGAUGAGUGGUCCGUGCCAGCUGGACAAGACAGCAAGGAAGGAAGGAAAUACACUAAGAUGUGGAGGCAUGAGAGAGUGUGGAAUAAAUAAGAUGUAGCGGGAGUCUGGUACUUAUGAAACACAAAAUAUGACUGGAAGAGAAGAGAAGGGGCAGAACUGGGAGUGGGCAGGCAGCCAAAGGCAGUCCGCACGCCAUGCUGUGGAGUUGUCACCUUUAUCCCGUAGAUGAGGGGGGCUCAUAGAAGAACACGUUGAAUGGUUCGGUGGAACAUCCAGGAAGUCCUGAGACAGUGGUGGUGGUUUUCUUCUUCCCCUUCUCCAUCUCAUUCUUCUUUUCCUCCUCCUCCUCUCCUUCUAAAGUUGACUCUUGUUGAAUAUAUUGUACAAUUACGAGUUUAUUCCUCUGUCUUAACGAGACUCUUGUCAUCAUAGACCCUCCUCGGAUAUUUGUCCAGAAGUUGAGGUCACUAUUCAGUACAUGAUCCUUAUGUCCAGGGUGACAGGUGGGACCGGAGAAGGGAAUCAGAGCACACAAACCAAGGAGGAGCCCUUAACACGACUGGAUCCAGUGGGUUUCAGGCCAUGUGGCACAGAGGUGAUCUUACGCAACUGUAGCAGGUACAGGGGCUCAAAGGGUCAUCCCCCUCAUCCACUGAGGAUAUCUGUUUUUACACUGGUGUUUUUCCAGCCAGAAAAUGUUGCUUGCAAGGAACAGAAAUAGUCCAUAGUUAAAAAGUAAGGAGGACAAAAGGAAUCCAAUGGAAAACCGUGGGUUCAUUCAUAUAAUUGAAAGGAAAGCUCAGCAACUAGGUAAUAAUAAUAAUAAACAUAUAUUGAGCACCUACUAUAUGUCAGUCGCCAUUCAAGAGCUUUACAUGUAUUAAUUCACUUAAUCUUUACAACAAUACUCAGUACUAAAGAGGACAUUAGUAUGAUGCUAAUUUUAUACAUUAGGAAACGGAGACUCGGAGAGGUUAAGUAAUGAACCCAAAGUCACACAGCGAGGCAGCAUCAGAGCCAUGAUUUGAACACACAAUAUCUGGUUUCUGAAUCAGUGCUUUUCACGCCUGUGCUAAAAAACAGGAAGUAGGAAGGUAAAACUGAGUGUUCUAGGUAGAAGGAAAUAAAGAAUGAUUGAUGUCUUCAGAGAAGUGUCACAUGUGACGGGCCUAGCUUGGGACGCCUGCCAUCUUGUAACUGAGGAAGGAGAGGGUCCCUUAUCUGAAAGGCUCCCCAGACUACUUGGAAUAAGGGAGAGUCAUUUCUCAAAACAAGCCCAACACUGGAUUCCACAUAAGAUUUAAUUUGAAGCAACAAACAAAGAAACAAACAAAAAAAGAACUCCACUACUAAAAGAAAAAAGAAAUUAUCACCAGAGACCUCUUAUUUGUAUGUGAAUAAAUAAAAAGUUUUAAAAGUU
Balaenoptera musculus (blue whale) is the source of this 7282-nucleotide long non-coding RNA. RefSeq lists it as uncharacterized. The record is from RefSeq and is a predicted model, not a curated record. The transcript has 2 exons. NCBI's taxonomy places the organism in Eukaryota, Metazoa, Chordata, Mammalia, Artiodactyla, Balaenopteridae.